Molecule: long non-coding RNA, 1854 nt
Filed under: Homo sapiens (human)
Lineage: Eukaryota; Metazoa; Chordata; Mammalia; Primates; Hominidae
Description: HSALNT0330310
Source: RNAcentral
CCAGGUGAUUCUGCUUUCAUCCAAGGGCCGCAUUCUCAGAGGCAGCAUCUGGGUCCAGGGAAAGAAAGGAUUGCCUGGGUUCCCCAGUGGGUUGGAGGCCAGGCAGGAAGGGAUCCCCGGCUCCUAGUCUUCAUGUAAGCUCUACAUUCUACAGUCUCUAGGAUAUCUAACAGAUCAAGGGUCUGAAGGUAAGCUCCCAGAAGACAGAGGUUUUGUUCAGUUCACUACUGGAUUCCUAAUACUUGGAACAGUGCCUGGACAGAGUAGGUGCUUAAAACUUAUUUUUGAGUCAAUGGAUAAUUGACAUGGCUGGUUUGAACUUCUGGAUCUUUUGCUUUGCUUUCACACAAGGAUUACUUAUACCAAUACUUUAUUUUAAAAUCUCUGGAAAUGAGACCAUCUGAAAUCAGAUAAAUAUGGCUUCAGAUACCAGCUCUGGCACUACUAGUUGCAUGAUCAUCAAUAUGUUACUUCUCUGUGCCUUAGUUUCCACAUCUGAAAAUUGAGGGUAAGAGUCCCUCUCUAGAUUUGUGAAUGGGAUGAACACAGGAUUUUAAGUACGGUUAGCCAGCAUCCAAGAUGGCCUCAAUGAUCUCUGCCUCUGGUAUUUAUGCCCUUGAGUAAUCCCAUUCCACAUGUCUCGGGUUGGUCUGUGUGUCUUAUAGAAUAUGGCUUGAAGUGAGGUUAUGUGGCUUCUGAAGCUAUCACAAUGUCAUAAAGGACACUGUGACUUCUGUCUUGCUCCAUUUCUGGGGUCACUUGCACUAGAGGAAGUCAGCUACUAAAUUACAAAGAAAUUCCAGCAACCACAAGGAGAGGUCCACAAAGUGAGAGAUUGAACCCUCGAGCUAACAAGCAUGUGAGUGAGACAUGUUGGAAGUGGAUUCUCCAGCUCCAGUCAAGCCUUCAGAUGAAUGCAGCUCCAGCCAACAUCUCACUGCAGCUUUAUGAGAGCCUCUGAGCUGGAGCCACUAGGCCAAGCUGUUCCCAAAUUCCUGACUCUCAGAAACUGUUGUGCAUAGGAAGAAUCUGGGGACCUUGUGGAAAGUGCAGCUCCCAGACACCUGCCUCAACUGACUCUGUGGAUGUGGAGCGGGCCCUGCCACUCCCCAUUUUUAACCUACUGGGGAGAGAACGGGAGGCAAAACUACAAACCUGAAAAUAAAGUGGCUAAGUGGCUUCUCAAACUCUUUCCAAGUCUCUAAACACCGCUGAGUCUGGAUUGUCACUGUGCUCUACAGAGGAAACGAAGACCAAGAAUUAAGCAGCUCGAUUUUCCAGUGCAGACUGUUUGACCUUUGUGACUAGUAAACCACUCCUUUUAUUAAGGCCAAAUCUGCAAAAUCUGUCUUAAAGAAAAUGGUCAGUCUUUCCUUUCUUCUAAACAUCUCUGAUUUUUUCAUCUUGUUUCCUGACUAUUCACAGACAGCAACAAUAACAGAUUCUGGAAAGAAGGAUUUGUAAUGAGGAAAUCAAGGCAGUGAGAUAAAGCAACUUGCCUGAGGUCACCCAGUUGGCAAGCUGGGGCACAGAUUUUCAGAGGUUUCUGGGAUUCCAAACCCUGUGCUCUCGGGCAUUUGUCUGAGAAAACUCUCAGGGAAGGUGUGGGCUUGUCGCCCCUGGAGGCCUUCCAGCUCCGACGUUUUGAAGCCUGGCUCCCAGAUUAAACUCCCUUCGGAUCCCAUUUUCUGAAGGGUCGCAAAAGCUGGGGGCUGGGUGGGGUAAGCUAGGGGACAACAGCGGCUCCGGCCGCCGCCUGAGCCCUUCAAGAUCAGCAUCCGGUCAAGCGGCUGUGCAGCCGAGAAGCAACCCGGGACUGCAAGUCUGCGUGGCGGGGACGGCGCAACCACUCAC